UCAGCAAGUGCCUUGUUCACGAGCAUCUCUGAUCUCAGGUAUUGGGAGGAAAGGCAGAGUCAGAGAAGAGAGUUCUUUAUCAGCUUCAGGAGACUUCGGCUGUUGUGUCCCAAUGGAAGGAACCUUCCUUUGUCACAGGUGUAGAAAACAGAGUCGCCUUCUCAUCCCUGGUACAUCUGGUUCUUCUACAAGCACGAGGCUAUCCCAUGGGACUUGCAUCUUUCCUGCCUCCCAGCCUGAGCAGCUGCAACCCGCAGGCUCUGCACCAAGCAGAGACCUAGCGACAAGCAUCCAGCACUCAGUGACAACACUGGCUGUUGUCCGAGAUUCUCCAUGCCUGUUAUAGCACAACAGCUGUGAAAUGCAUUACUCGCAGAUGUCUAUAAUUAGGGACCAGCACUGCCUUCCGAUGGCAUCUGAACCAAAAAGGCCAGUGAACAUUGAAACACUUGCUUUGGGCAAUAAAUAAAACAUUCAUGCGCUAUA
Molecule: long non-coding RNA, 486 nt
Organism: Strigops habroptila (Kakapo)
Lineage: Eukaryota; Metazoa; Chordata; Aves; Psittaciformes; Psittacidae
Exons: 2
Source: RefSeq, a predicted model, not a curated record